RNAcentral lists this transfer RNA (85 nucleotides) under Clostridia bacterium. RNAcentral describes it as "tRNA-Tyr". It matches the Rfam family "tRNA". From Rfam's summary of the family: Transfer RNA (tRNA) molecules are approximately 80 nucleotides in length. Their secondary structure includes four short double-helical elements and three loops (D, anti-codon, and T loops). The record is from RNAcentral. Lineage: Bacteria; Bacillati; Bacillota; Clostridia.
GGUGGGAUGCCCGAGCGGCCAAAGGGAGCGGGCUGUAAACCCGUCGGCUAAGCCUACGAAGGUUCGAAUCCUUCUCCCACCACCA